UGCUAUGACCGGGUAUCCGGCCUGAGAGGGUGAACGGACACACUGGAACUGAGACACGGUCCAGACUCCUACGGGAGGCAGCAGUAGGGAAUAUUGCUCAAUGGGGGAAACCCUGAAGCAGCAACGCCGCGUGGAGGAUGAAGGUUUUAGGAUUGUAAACUCCUUUUGUUAGAGAAGAUAAUGACGGUAUCUAACGAAUAAGCACCGGCUAACUCCGUGCCAGCAGCCGCGGUAAUACGGAGGGUGCAAGCGUUACUCGGAAUCACUGGGCGUAAAGAGCGCGUAGGCGGGAUAGUCAGUCAGGUGUGAAAUCCUAUGGCUUAACCAUAGAACUGCAUUUGAAACUANCUAUUCUAGAGUGUGGGAGAGGUAGGUGGAAUUCUUGGUGUGGGGGUAAAAUCA
This 402-nucleotide ribosomal RNA is filed under the name Helicobacter pylori. RNAcentral's name for it is "bacterial SSU rRNA". It matches the Rfam family "Bacterial small subunit ribosomal RNA", at positions 272 to 689 of the family's 1533-position model. Lineage: Bacteria; Pseudomonadati; Campylobacterota; Epsilonproteobacteria; Campylobacterales; Helicobacteraceae. The record is from RNAcentral.